GGUGGGAUGGCCGAGUUGGUUAUGGCGCCAGGUUAAGGUCACCUUAACAGAGUUGCUUUCUUAGUAAUUUCCUGGUUCGGGAAACUGAGCGUGGGUUCGAGUCCCACUCCCAUCA
Xylona heveae TC161 is the source of this 115-nucleotide transfer RNA. It matches the Rfam family "tRNA". From Rfam's summary of the family: Transfer RNA (tRNA) molecules are approximately 80 nucleotides in length. Their secondary structure includes four short double-helical elements and three loops (D, anti-codon, and T loops). The record is from Rfam. NCBI's taxonomy places the organism in Eukaryota, Fungi, Ascomycota, Xylonomycetes, Xylonales, Xylonaceae.